AUUGAACGCUGGCGGCAGGCUUAACACAUGCAAGUCGAGCGGGGGAAGGUAGCUUGCUACCGGACCUAGCGGCGGACGGGUGAGUAAUGCUUAGGAAUCUGCCUAUUAGUGGGGGACAACAUCUCGAAAGGGAUGCUAAUACCGCAUACGUCCUACGGGAGAAAGCAGGGGAUCUUCGGACCUUGCGCUAAUAGAUGAGCCUAAGUCGGAUUAGCUAGUUGGUGGGGUAAAGGCCUACCAAGGCGACGAUCUGUAGCGGGUCUGAGAGGAUGAUCCGCCACACUGGGACUGAGACACGGCCCCGACUCCAACGGGAGGCAGCAGUGGGGAAUAUUGGACAAUGGGGGGAACCCUGAUCCAGCCAUGCCGCGUGUGUGAAGAAGGCCUUAUGGUUGUAAAGCACUUUAAGCGAGGAGGAGGCUACUCUAGUUAAUACCUAGGGAUAGUGGACGUUACUCGCAGAAUAAGCACCGGCUAACUCUGUGCCAGCCGCCGCCGUAA
RNAcentral lists this ribosomal RNA (501 nucleotides) under uncultured bacterium. Its description in RNAcentral is "partial 16S ribosomal RNA". It matches the Rfam family "Bacterial small subunit ribosomal RNA", at positions 30 to 523 of the family's 1533-position model. The record is from RNAcentral.